Homo sapiens (human) is the source of this 2790-nucleotide long non-coding RNA. RefSeq lists it as uncharacterized. The record is from RefSeq and is a predicted model, not a curated record. The transcript is spliced from 2 exons. NCBI's taxonomy places the organism in Eukaryota, Metazoa, Chordata, Mammalia, Primates, Hominidae.
UUUUUUUUACCUCUGGAACAUAGCACAUUUUCUAACAUAGCCACUGAGAGGAAAACCCAAGCAGUGGUUUGUCCUUGCUGCCUGCACAAAGCCCAGGCCCACAUGCUUGUAACUCCAUCUGCACAAGAGGCUCUCCUCUCCACCCAGUCCCUCUUCGGGGCGGGGAGUCCUGGCAAAACGAGUGGCAAUGAAGUGCUUUUAUGUUACGAGGCUGUCAUGUAAAGCUGCUGAUAGAUUCAAUCCAUCUGUUCCACCUCAUUUCGAUUAAUCCUGGGAUCCCUAGGGCCUGAAACCAACUGCAAUCUGCACAAGCCCAGGAGCGCCGGCUCCCCUAACAAGGCCACCCGUGUCUCCGUACCCAGGGACCAACUCGGCCCGGCCGAGGCUACCACGUCAUCAGAAAACCCCCUCCCACGGAACACUUCCUAACUGCCUGUCCUUGUGGCUGCAUUCACAGAAACAAACAUAAGUCGGUUCUUUGUUCACAGAAAGGAAAACAAAUAUUUCCUUUGAGCUGACCCAGGAGGAGGAGAACCGCUGGGAAGGAGCACCUGGAAACUCAAACACCGCAGCAUGAGGGCAGAGCCGCUAACUCCUGCCUCUGCCUGUAACCUACUGUGUGGCCUCAGGCAAGUCACAGUCCCUCUCUGAGCCACACCCUCAUCUGUACCAGGAUCAGGACUCCACAGUCUCUAAAGGACUUCAGUCUCCUUCAGAAGGGGGAAGGGAGGGGCUGGAAAAAGAGACGCUGCUGGCAAGAGAGGCACAGCACAUCUUUAUGGCGUUAACUCGGCUGCCAGCUCUCACCAGCAGGCAAGUGCCCACGCGUCCAGAAGAACUCAGGGAACCCGGCAGGGAGGGAACCAGAGGAUGUUUCAAGUAACCCCAGGAGCUCCUGCCACCUUCCCUUUAGGGCUGGGUGAUGCCCUGGAUUGCUCUGUGGGCAGACCUGUCUUAUCUGAUGCCAGGAAGGGCCUGUUCUGAGCCCCUGAGCCAAAGAAGGGGGCGGGGGGCAGCCCCAGAAACACGGGCAGGACACGGCAUUCGACUCCUUGGAAGAGAACCUCUGCCCAUAAACAGUAGUUCAGGAACCAUUUUACAAGAGGAAUGCAAGCCGGGUCUCUGCAUCGGGCUUUAGGAACGACCUGCUGCAGUGAUGCCUCGGCAACCACAGUCCCACGAUGAAGGACAACUGAGAACCAGAUGUGCACAGAACCACCGUUCAGGGAGUCUGGACCCAGCCCUGUCUGCACGUUAUCUAAACGGUGACAGCAGCAGCUUUGGAGUCCCCUCUGCCGGCUCCACCACCACGUUGCUGCUGGGCCUCGGCAUCAAGCCCUGCCAGGUGGCCAGAAAGGCAGGUGGCCGGGCAGGCAGGCAUCACUUAACCUAGCGACAAUCAAGCCUGUGCCUGGCAUGAAGUCAGGCCCCCGGAGGUGCUGGCUGAACCUGAGGCCUUUCCUAGCCGUCAGGUUUUGCUGGGCACUGUGCUCUCAACAUGCUCCGGGGCGACACACCAUCCUCCCUCCUGCUUCAACACAGGGCAGCUCUGCAGGGGGCAAACACAGGAAGCCACAGUCACCACAGUGAGCCCAUAAAGGAAGACAGUCCCAGCUACCUGUGUGUGCGAGGAGUGGGGUCCAUUCUAGAGAUCCCCAGGAAUGCACAAACCGUCCCCAGCCCCUGGGCUCAGGACCAAGGAGGAAGAACUGAGCUGGGACAUCUGCUGGGGCCACCUUCUCUCUUCUCCCUCUGGCCUCAGGAGGGCCAAGAAAAACACACACGAUACCAGUGCCCUAUGGUGGUCUGGACUCAAGAGAGCUGGCUUGGACGCUAUGCUGAGAACACUAGGGGCAGGUCUGGCCCUGGGAGCAAGUGUGCCACGGUUCAUCAGUGACAUCUGCCUGGGGCCAAGCAGAACUUGUGCUGGUCAAAUAGCAAAGGAUGAAGAGAAGGAAAAAUUCUACACACAUGGGAACCAUGAGUCUCCAGCAUGGAUAAAUAAGACUGUAAUUACCCCUCCUUAGCCCCCACUCGCUCCUCCAAAAAAGCUUUCUGGAGGAAACAGACAGCAGAGCAGACAUUUCAUGCAAACUGGUCUCUUUUCAUUACAGGAGUUUGCAGCAAAAGAUCAGACUUCAUCUAGAGAGCAAGAAACUCUCUAUUCUAUCACCAAGAAUGUAUUCUAUAGCAGGAAACUGGGGGAGGGCAUAUCGGGACACAGUUGAAAAGCCGGGGAGGAGGAAGGUUCAGAAGUGACAAGUUUCUAAUGACUAAUAUCUCGGCAGGAAGUGAAAAUCUCAAAAGAUGUUAUCAACUUUGCAGCAGCUGUCCAAGUUGGGGGGUGGGCAGGGGUUGGAGGUGACCUGGCAGCCCAGCCGGUCCCCUGCCCACCCGCACCUGACAAAAUCCUCUCUGUCCAGCCACACUUGCCUCCAAUGCCUUCCUCAAACCCCUCCGCCGGCAAUGAUCACUUCCUCAGCAAUCAGUGCCCCCAGGCCCCUCUCUCGUGUCCCUGCCUGAGUCCCACACAGGGAACUGAGAUCCUCAGGGUCCCCAGGGCAGAUGCUGGAACAUGCUCACCUCUGAAUCCCCCCAGGGCUCUGCACAGUGUGGCCCACAGCAGAUGCCUGCCAGCUGCUGGCUAAAUGGAACUGGCUGCGGGGAGGAAGGCUCUGGUGAGAACAGAGGCUUUUUGGGACCUCCAACUAAACGCACCCUCCCCCAUCUACAGUGUAAAGAACACUUUAUUUCGAACAGCAAUAAAUCAGCAUGCUGCAUAAACCAGGA